UUGUGUUGUUGUUGUUGUUGUUGUUGUUGUCAGAUAAGAGCCCACUAAUCUCUCUAUCUGUUUCUAUCUAUUCGCCUCUUUGCUUUAUAUUUGUUUACUUUACCAAGAAAUAAAUAAAAUGCAUUCGACGUAAAUACGAAAAAAACAAAAAAUAGAAUAGAAAAUUGUAGAAAAAAAAAAAAACUAAAGUCGCCGCGAUGCAAACAAGCGACGAUCAUAAACAUUUAAUUAACUUUUAUGAACUGUGUAAAUAGUGAGUUAAAUGCAUUAACAGCAGAGUACAGAGAACUCCAAACACUUAGAUACACUAACAAUUAGGUAUUUUAGUUGUCAUAUUUAGUUACAGC
Drosophila innubila is the source of this 347-nucleotide long non-coding RNA. RefSeq lists it as uncharacterized. Lineage: Eukaryota; Metazoa; Arthropoda; Insecta; Diptera; Drosophilidae. The record is from RefSeq and is a predicted model, not a curated record. The transcript has 3 exons.